Molecule: ribosomal RNA, 285 nt
Filed under: Triticum aestivum (bread wheat)
Lineage: Eukaryota; Viridiplantae; Streptophyta; Magnoliopsida; Poales; Poaceae
Description: partial small subunit ribosomal RNA
Source: RNAcentral
AUGAAACGGGGGACCGAGCAGCCAGAGGAAGGAAGCAGCGGCGCUGGAGGGUCCUGGACGGUGGAGAACGAUGUGGAGGAGGCGUCGGGGAUGGACUUCUCUGGCCGAAGCCAAAGCCAUGACGAGGCGAUCUGGGAUGAGGCAGAGGAGCAGUCGCGUGGGUCGAGCGAAGUGACGCCGGCUGGCGUUGGACUUGGCGGCCUGCAGGUUUUCGAAGUGCCUAAAAAUGUUAAGAUCUUUAGUGGAGCUCAGGAAAAGAUGAAAGAAUUUAUGGGCGAAGUUUGA